Molecule: ribosomal RNA, 392 nt
Filed under: uncultured bacterium
Lineage: Bacteria
Description: partial 16S ribosomal RNA
Rfam family: Bacterial small subunit ribosomal RNA
Source: RNAcentral
AUACGUAGGGGGCGAGCGUUGUCCGGAUUUAUUGGGCGUAAAGGGUGCGUAGGCGGCCUUGUAAGUCAGAUGUGAAAGAUCAUGGCUUAACUGUGGUAAGCAUUUGAAACUGCAGGGCUUGAGUACAGGAGAGGAGAGUGGAAUUCCUAGUGUAGCGGUGAAAUGCGUAGAUAUUAGGAGGAAUACCAGUGGCGAAGGCGACUCUCUGGACUGAUACUGACGCUGAGGCACGAAAGCGUGGGGAGCAAACAGGAUUAGAUACCCUGGUAGUCCACGCUAUAAACGAUGAGUGCUAGGUGUCGGGGGUCAAACCUCGGUGCCGCAGUUAACACAUUAAGCACUCCGCCUGGGAAGUACGCUCGCAAGAGUGAAACUUAAAGGAAUUGACGGGG